This is a long non-coding RNA of Canis lupus familiaris (dog), 1252 nucleotides long. RefSeq lists it as uncharacterized. Lineage: Eukaryota; Metazoa; Chordata; Mammalia; Carnivora; Canidae. The record is from RefSeq and is a predicted model, not a curated record. The transcript is spliced from 4 exons.
UCCCAGUUGCCACCUGGAAUUCUGACCAAUUGGCUGUAAAUUGGGGUUUCCAGAACCCCCUUCUCAGGUUUGGUAAUCUUCUAGAGUGGCUGAUGGAAAUGAGGAAGACAGCUUACUAACUAGAAUACCAGUUUAUUAUAAAAGGAUAUAACUCAGGAAUAGCCAGGUGGAAGAGAUGCAUGGAGCAAGGUAUGGGGCAACAGCCAAGCCCUCUGCGGGUGCACCACCCUCUCAGCCCCUCCACAUGUUCACCAACCCAGAGGCUCCCCAAACUCCUUCAGGGUCAGAAAGCCAGCACCUUUUCAUUGACCUCUGAUUUCUCUUCUGGACAAAGGUGACCAUGAAGCAUCACCACCAGCAAACCAGCCAGCUGGGACACAGUCCCCCCAAUUCUCUCUGAGACUCACAGAGAGAGAGAGAGAGAGAGAGAGAGAGAGGCAGAGACACAGGCAGAGAGAGAAGCAGGCUCCAUGCACCGGGAGCCCGACGGGGGAUUCAAUCCCGGGUCUCCAGGAUCGCGCCCUGGGCCAAAGGCAGGCGCCAAACCGCUGCGGCACCCAGGGAUCCCUAACCUUGAUCUUGUGUAACGUCUUUCAGCUGCCUUUCCUGGCAAAAAGAACCUCAACUGUGCAUAACCAAACCAGCUCAGAAUUACAACAGCAUUCUCAAAAAGAGAAGACUUCUGCUUUGCUUCACCAUUGUGAAUUUUGAAAACCCCAAGAGAUCUGUUUUGGCCAGAAUUUGAAGAGCUUACAAUGUCACUAUUUUGAAUUUGUGAUUUGAAGGAAGAAAGGAUUACACACUGUGCUUUAUUCAAAAACAUUUUGAACACACACACACACACACACACACACACACACAAAGACCUAUAAACACAGCUGUGCAUUAAAGGUGUAGUUUUCAUUGGACUCACUCUUUAAGACGGGUAUUCUGGGUGUGCUGGAUUGGAAGGGAGAGGAAGUCGUUCUGGGCUUUCCCAGUGCUCUGGGGGCUCACUCCCACCCCAGCAGGUGUCUUGGGAUUCUGGCUCCGGUAUCCCCCAGGGUCUAAGUCAAACUAGAGAGUGGGGUUCUCAUCAUCUAACCGUCUGCCAGGUAACUCUCGAACAAAACCCAGAGUAGCCUCUAAGAUGACGAUGAAGUGUAGAAGAGGCAUAUGGGGCAUAUUCAUUUUCUUUCUACACAAAUGACUGCUGUUGUGCCCAAGAUUGCGAAUCCGAGAAACCACCAAGGAGCCGACACCAAUGCAAGUA